AGAGUUUGAUCAUGGCUCAGGACGAACGCUGGCGGCGUGCUUAACACAUGCAAGUCGAACGGAAAGGCCCUUCGGGGUACUCGAGUGGCGAACGGGUGAGUAACACGUGGGUGAUCUGCCCUGCACUCUGGGAUAAGCCUGGGAAACUGGGUCUAAUACCGGAUAGGACCGCAUGCUUCAUGGUGUGUGGUGCAAAGCUUUUGCGGUGUGGGAUGAGCCCGCGGCCUAUCAGCUUGUUGGUGGGGUAAUGGCCUACCAAGGCGACGACGGGUAGCCGGCCUGAGAGGGUGACCGGCCACACUGGGACUGAGAUACGGCCCAGACUCCUACGGGAGGCAGCAGUGGGGAAUAUUGCACAAUGGGCGCAAGCCUGAUGCAGCGACGCCGCGUGAGGGAUGACGGCCUUCGGGUUGUAAACCUCUUUCAGUAGGGACGAAGCGAAAGUGACGGUACCUACAGAAGAAGGACCGGCCAACUACGUGCCAGCAGCCGCGGUAAUACGUAGGGUCCGAGCGUUGUCCGGAAUUACUGGGCGUAAAGAGCUCGUAGGUGGUUUGUCGCGUUGUUCGUGAAAACUCACAGCUUAACUGUGGGCGUGCGGGCGAUACGGGCAGACUAGAGUACUGCAGGGGAGACUGGAAUUCCUGGUGUAGCGGUGGAAUGCGCAGAUAUCUGGAGGAACAUCAGUGGCGAAGGCGGCUUCCUGGUCCAAUACUGACGCUGAGGUGCGAAAGCGUGGGGAGCAAACAGGAUUAGAUACCCCGGUAGUCCAA
This 773-nucleotide ribosomal RNA is filed under the name uncultured bacterium. RNAcentral's name for it is "bacterial SSU rRNA". It matches the Rfam family "Bacterial small subunit ribosomal RNA", at positions 8 to 798 of the family's 1533-position model. The record is from RNAcentral.